CUUUACUGUAGCCUGGAAUUGUGUCCGGGCUUCGCUUGCGCAGGAUAGGUGGGAAGCGAUGAAGUAUUCCUUGUGGGGAAUAUGGAGCUAACGGUGAGAUACCACUCUGGCGAAGCUAGGAUUCUAACUUAUUUCCGUUAUCCGGAAAAAGGACAGUUUCAGGUGGGCAGUUUGACUGGGGCGGUCGCCUCCCAAAGAGUAACGGAGGCGCGCGAUGGUGGGCUCAGGCUGGUCGGAAAUCAGCCCUCGAGUGCAAUGGCAUAAGCCCGCCUGACUGCGAGACCGACAGGUCGAGCAGAGACGAAAGUCGGCCAUAGUGAUCCGGUGGUUUCCAUGUGGAAGGGCCAUCGCUCAACGGAUAAAAGGUA
Molecule: ribosomal RNA, 368 nt
Filed under: uncultured organism
Description: bacterial LSU rRNA
Rfam family: Bacterial large subunit ribosomal RNA
Source: RNAcentral